RNAcentral lists this ribosomal RNA (205 nucleotides) under uncultured bacterium. RNAcentral's name for it is "partial 16S ribosomal RNA". It matches the Rfam family "Bacterial small subunit ribosomal RNA", at positions 568 to 774 of the family's 1533-position model. The record is from RNAcentral.
UGCGCAGGCGGCUCCUUAAGUCAGAUGUGAAAGCCCGGGCUUAACCUGGGAACUGCGUUUGAAACUGGGGAGCUGGAGUGUAGAAGAGGGGGGUGGAAUUCCAGGUGUAGCAGUGAAAUGCGUAGAGAUCUGGAGGAACACCGAUGGCGAAGGCAGCCCCCUGGGCUAACACUGACGCUCAUGCACGAAAGCGUGGGAGCAAACA